Long non-coding RNA from Parus major (Great Tit), 573 nucleotides. RefSeq lists it as uncharacterized. Lineage: Eukaryota; Metazoa; Chordata; Aves; Passeriformes; Paridae. The record is from RefSeq and is a predicted model, not a curated record. The transcript is spliced from 3 exons.
UGUUAUUGCAAUAACAGGAGGCAACAUACCAGAAGUCAGGCUGUCCUUCACAUCAGAACUGAAAUUUCAGGGGAUUUGAUUUGCUUCCCAGACUUUGAGACUUUGCAUUUUUCUGUUUCAAGUCUUUCAUGUGACUUCCACUGCUAGAAUUCUUCUGCUAAGCAUUGCCUUCAUAGUAGCAGUGUCACGCUGGAAAAGCUGAUGCAGAAGACUACAAUUAGUAUGUAACUCCUAGCAAUGCAACUAAAACUAAUUAGGUAAUAAAGGAUGAUUGACAGAAUCAAUAUAGUCAUAGACUGGGGAGAAAUUCUGAGGCAAAGCAAAAAGAAGAUGUUAAGUGAAAGGAACAGCAAUUUUAAGACUGAUAGAAAAUACAGAAUACACAGAAAUACUUUACAACAACUGCAGAAUCUCACUAUCAGAGCAUCAAGUGGAAUAUGACACACCUGUCUAUGAAACAUAAGAUUUACAACACCAGAGACUAUUUGAGAAACCCUCCAGGUUUAAGUGUAUUUUGAGGAAGACAAAGACAAUUGCUCACGCAGUAAGGAAAAACAGACAAGUGUCUUAAGG